GCCGGGCAUUGUGGCAGGUGCCUGUAAUCCCAGCUACUUGGGAGGCAGAGGCAGGAGAAUCACCUGAGCCCAGGAACUGGAGGUUGCUGUGAGCUGUGGUGCCAAGCACUCUACACAGGGUGACAGCUUGAGGCUCUGUCUCAAAAAAAAAAAAAAAAAAUAGAGCCAAACACCAUAGCACAUGCAUAUAGUUCCAGCUAGUUGGGAAGCUAAAGCAGGAGUUACUGGUUGAACUCAGAGAGAAGUUCUGUACUGUAGUGCACAAUGCCCAUCAGGUACUUGCACUGAAUUCAGCAUCAAUAUGGUAUUCUCCUGGCAACAGGGGACCACCAGGCUGCUUAAAGAGGGGUGAAUCAACCCAGAAUGGGAAACAAAACAGACCAAAACCCCCAAGCGAAUCAGAAGUAGGAUUGUGCCUAUGAACAGCUACUGCAUUCCAGUUUGGAUAACAGCAAGACCUCAUCUCUU
Molecule: signal recognition particle RNA, 468 nt
Filed under: Otolemur garnettii (small-eared galago)
Lineage: Eukaryota; Metazoa; Chordata; Mammalia; Primates; Galagidae
Description: Metazoan signal recognition particle RNA
Rfam family: Metazoan signal recognition particle RNA
About the family: The signal recognition particle (SRP) is a universally conserved ribonucleoprotein. It is involved in the co-translational targeting of proteins to membranes. The eukaryotic SRP consists of a 300-nucleotide 7S RNA and six proteins: SRPs 72, 68, 54, 19, 14, and 9.
Source: Rfam by way of RNAcentral